CCUACGGGAGGCAGCAGUAGGGAAUAUUGCGCAAUGGGGGAAACCCUGAAGCAGCAACGCCGCGUGGAGGAUGAAGGUUUUCGGAUUGUAAACUUCUGUUGUUAGAGAAGAUCAUGACGGUAUGUAACUAUUAACCACCGGCCAACUCCGUGCCAGCAGCCGCGGUAAUACGGAGGGUGCACGCGUUACUCGGAAUCACUGGGCGUAAAGAGCGCGUAGGCGGGUUAGCAAGUCAGAUGUGAAAUCCUAUGGCUUAACCAUAGAUCUGCAUUUGAAACUGUUAUUCUAGAGUAUGGGAGAGGUAGGUGGAAUUCUAGGUGUAGCGGUAAAAUGCGUAGAGAUAAAGAGGAAUACUCAUUGCGAAGGCGACCUGCUAGAACGUAACUGACGCUGAUGCGCGAAAGCGUGGGGAGCAAACAGGAUUAGAUACCCCAGUAGUC
RNAcentral lists this ribosomal RNA (440 nucleotides) under uncultured bacterium. Its description in RNAcentral is "partial 16S ribosomal RNA". It matches the Rfam family "Bacterial small subunit ribosomal RNA", at positions 338 to 795 of the family's 1533-position model. The record is from RNAcentral.